UACGUAGGGCGCAAGCGUUAUCCGGAAUUAUUGGGCGUAAAGAGCUCGUAGGCGGUUUGUCGCGUCUGCCGUGAAAGUCCGGGGCUCAACUCCGGAUCUGCGGUGGGUACGGGCAGACUAGAGUGAUGUAGGGGAGACUGGAAUUCCUGGUGUAGCGGUGAAAUGCGCAGAUAUCUGGAGGAACACCGGUGGCGAAGGCGGCAUCCUGGACCGAUAUUGACGCUGAGGAGCGAAAGCCAGGGGAGCAAACGGG
This 253-nucleotide ribosomal RNA is filed under the name uncultured bacterium. RNAcentral's name for it is "partial 16S ribosomal RNA". It matches the Rfam family "Bacterial small subunit ribosomal RNA", at positions 524 to 776 of the family's 1533-position model. The record is from RNAcentral.